GAUGAAGAACGCAGCGAAAUGCGAUACUUGGUGUGAAUUGCAGAAUCCCGUGAACCAUCGAGUCUUUGAACGCAAGUUGCGCCCGAAGCCAUUAGGCCUAGGGCACGCCUGCCUGGGCGUCACACGUCGUUGCCCCCCCAUCUACUCCUUCGGGAUUGCGGGGGGCGGAUGAUGGCCUCCCGUGCGCCUUGUCGCGCGGUUGGCAUAAAUGCCAAGUCCUCGGCGACGCACGCCACGACAAUCGGUGGUUGCGAAACCUCGGUUGCCCGUCGUGUGCGGUCGUCGCGCAUCGAGGGCUCGAAAAAAUUGUCGAGCUCCGGCUCGGCUUUCAACGCGACCCCAGGUCAGGCGGGGUUACCCGCUGAAUUUAAGCAUAUCAAUAAGCGGAGGA
RNAcentral lists this unclassified non-coding RNA (391 nucleotides) under soil metagenome. RNAcentral describes it as "partial contains 5.8S ribosomal RNA, internal transcribed spacer 2, and large subunit ribosomal RNA". The stretch from base 1 to 122 matches the Rfam family "5.8S ribosomal RNA", at positions 35 to 154 of the family's 154-position model. The record is from RNAcentral.